AGAUUAAGUUAUUAAGGGCGCACGGUGGAUGCCUUGGCACUAGAAGCCGAUGAAGGACGUUACUAACGACGAUAUGCUUUGGGGAGCUGUAAGUAAGCUUUGAUCCAGAGAUUUCCGAAUGGGGAAACCCAGCAUGAGUUAUGUCAUGUUAUCGAUAUGUGAAUACAUAGCAUAUCAGAAGGCACACCCGGAGAACUGAAACAUCUUAGUACCCGGAGGAAGAGAAAGAAAAUUCGAUUCCCUUAGUAGCGGCGAGCGAAACGGGAAGAGCCCAAACCAACAAGCUUGCUUGUUGGGGUUGUAGGACACUCUAUACGGAGUUACAAAGGACGACAUUAGACGAAUCAUCUGGAAAGAUGAAUCAAAGAAGGUAAUAAUCCUGUAGUCGAAAAUGUUGUCUCUCUUGAGUGGAUCCUGAGUACGACGGAGCACGUGAAAUUCCGUCGGAAUCUGGGAGGACCAUCUCCUAAGGCUAAAUACUCUCUAGUGACCGAUAGUGAACCAGUACCGUGAGGGAAAGGUGAAAAGCACCCCGGAAGGGGAGUGAAAUAGAACCUGAAACCGUGUGCUUACAAGUAGUCAGAGCCCGUUAAUGGGUGAUGGCGUGCCUUUUGUAGAAUGAACCGGCGAGUUACGAUUUGAUGCAAGGUUAAGCAGUAAAUGUGGAGCCGUAGCGAAAGCGAGUCUGAAUAGGGCGUUUAGUAUUUGGUCGUAGACCCGAAACCAGGUGAUCUACCCUUGGUCAGGUUGAAGUUCAGGUAACACUGAAUGGAGGACCGAACCGACUUACGUUGAAAAGUGAGCGGAUGAACUGAGGGUAGCGGAGAAAUUCCAAUCGAACCUGGAGAUAGCUGGUUCUCUCCGAAAUAGCUUUAGGGCUAGCCUCAAGUGAUGAUUAUUGGAGGUAGAGCACUGUUUGGACGAGGGGCCCCUCUCGGGUUACCGAAUUCAGACAAACUCCGAAUGCCAAUUAAUUUAACUUGGGAGUCAGAACAUGGGUGAUAAGGUCCGUGUUCGAAAGGGAAACAGCCCAGACCACCAGCUAAGGUCCCAAAAUAUAUGUUAAGUGGAAAAGGAUGUGGCGUUGCCCAGACAACUAGGAUGUUGGCUUAGAAGCAGCCAUCAUUUAAAGAGUGCGUAAUAGCUCACUAGUCGAGUGACACUGCGCCGAAAAUGUACCGGGGCUAAACAUAUUACCGAAGCUGUGGAUUGUCCUUUGGACAAUGGUAGGAGAGCGUUCUAAGGGCGUUGAAGCAUGAUCGUAAGGACAUGUGGAGCGCUUAGAAGUGAGAAUGCCGGUGUGAGUAGCGAAAGACGGGUGAGAAUCCCGUCCACCGAUUGACUAAGGUUUCCAGAGGAAGGCUCGUCCGCUCUGGGUUAGUCGGGUCCUAAGCUGAGGCCGACAGGCGUAGGCGAUGGAUAACAGGUUGAUAUUCCUGUACCACCUAUAAUCGUUUUAAUCGAUGGGGGGACGCAGUAGGAUAGGCGAAGCGUGCGAUUGGAUUGCACGUCUAAGCAGUAAGGCUGAGUAUUAGGCAAAUCCGGUACUCGUUAAGGCUGAGCUGUGAUGGGGAGAAGACAUUGAGUCUUCGAGUCGUUGAUUUCACACUGCCGAGAAAAGCCUCUAGAUAGAAAAUAGGUGCCCGUACCGCAAACCGACACAGGUAGUCAAGAUGAGAAUUCUAAGGUGAGCGAGCGAACUCUCGUUAAGGAACUCGGCAAAAUGACCCCGUAACUUCGGGAGAAGGGGUGCUCUUUAGGGUUAACGCCCAGAAGAGCCGCAGUGAAUAGGCCCAAGCGACUGUUUAUCAAAAACACAGGUCUCUGCUAAACCGUAAGGUGAUGUAUAGGGGCUGACGCCUGCCCGGUGCUGGAAGGUUAAGAGGAGUGGUUAGCUUCUGCGAAGCUACGAAUCGAAGCCCCAGUAAACGGCGGCCGUAACUAUAACGGUCCUAAGGUAGCGAAAUUCCUUGUCGGGUAAGUUCCGACCCGCACGAAAGGCGUAACGAUUUGGGCACUGUCUCAACGAGAGACUCGGUGAAAUCAUAGUACCUGUGAAGAUGCAGGUUACCCGCGACAGGACGGAAAGACCCCGUGGAGCUUUACUGUAGCCUGAUAUUGAAAUUCGGCACAGCUUGUACAGGAUAGGUAGGAGCCUUUGAAACGUGAGCGCUAGCUUACGUGGAGGCGCUGGUGGGAUACUACCCUAGCUGUGUUGGCUUUCUAACCCGCACCACUUAUCGUGGUGGGAGACAGUGUC
Molecule: ribosomal RNA, 2260 nt
Filed under: Staphylococcus aureus
Lineage: Bacteria; Bacillati; Bacillota; Bacilli; Caryophanales; Staphylococcaceae
Description: partial 23S ribosomal RNA
Rfam family: Bacterial large subunit ribosomal RNA
Source: RNAcentral